GACGAACGCUGUCGGCGUGCUUAACACAUGCAAGUCGAACGGAAAGGCCCUGCUUUUGUGGGGUGCUCGAGUGGCGAACGGGUGAGUAACACGUGAGUAACCUGCCCUUGACUUUGGGAUAACUUCAGGAAACUGGGGCUAAUACCGGAUAGGAGCUCCUGCUGCAUGGUGGGGGUUGGAAAGUUUCGGCGGUUGGGGAUGGACUCGCGGCUUAUCAGCUUGUUGGUGGGGUAGUGGCUUACCAAGGCUUUGACGGGUAGCCGGCCUGAGAGGGUGACCGGCCACAUUGGGACUGAGAUACGGCCCAGACUCCUACGGGAGGCAGCAGUGGGGAAUAUUGCACAAUGGGCGGAAGCCUGAUGCAGCAACGCCGCGUGCGGGAUGACGGCCUUCGGGUUGUAAACCGCUUUCGCCUGUGACGAAGCGUGAGUGACGGUAAUGGGUAAAGAAGCACCGGCUAACUACGUGCCAGCAGCCGCGGUGAUACGUAGGGUGCGAGCGUUGUCCGGAUUUAUUGGGCGUAAAGGGCUCGUAGGUGGUUGAUCGCGUCGGAAGUGUAAUCUUGGGGCUUAACCCUGAGCGUGCUUUCGAUACGGGUUGACUUGAGGAAGGUAGGGGAGAAUGGAACUCCUGGUGGAGCGGUGGAAUGCGCAGAUAUCAGGAGGAACACCAGUGGCGAAGGCGGUUCUCUGGGCCUUUCCUGACGCUGAGGAGCGAAAGCGUGGGGAGCGAACAGGCUUAGAUACCCUGGUAGUCCACGCUGUAAACGGUGGGUACUAGGUGUGGGGUCCAUUCCACGGGUUCCGUGCCGUAGCUAACGCUUUAAGUACCCCGCCUGGGGAGUACGGCCGCAAGGCUAAAACUCAAAGGAAUUGACGGGGCCCCGCACAAGCGGCGGAGCAUGCGGAUUAAUUCGAUGCAACGCGUAGAACCUUACCUGGGUUUGACAUGGAUCGGGAGUGCUCAGAGAUGGGUGUGCCUCUUUUGGGGUCGGUUCACAGGUGGUGCAUGGCUGUCGUCAGCUCGUGUCGUGAGAUGUUGGGUUAAGUCCCGCAACGAGCGCAACCCUUGUUCACUGUUGCCAGCACGUUAUGGUGGGGACUCAGUGGAGACCGCCGGGGUCAACUCGGAGGAAGGUGGGGAUGACGUCAAGUCAUCAUGCCCCUUAUGUCCAGGGCUUCACGCAUGCUACAAUGGCUGGUACAGAGAGUGGCGAGCCUGUGAGGGUGAGCGAAUCUCGGAAAGCCGGUCUCAGUUCGGAUUGGGGUCUGCAACUCGACCUCAUGAAGUCGGAGUCGCUAGUAAUCGCAGAUCAGCAACGCUGCGGUGAAUACGUUCCCGGG
Molecule: ribosomal RNA, 1343 nt
Filed under: uncultured bacterium
Lineage: Bacteria
Description: 16S ribosomal RNA
Rfam family: Bacterial small subunit ribosomal RNA
Source: RNAcentral